Molecule: ribosomal RNA, 1068 nt
Filed under: Flavobacterium sp. wB6
Lineage: Bacteria; Pseudomonadati; Bacteroidota; Flavobacteriia; Flavobacteriales; Flavobacteriaceae
Description: bacterial SSU rRNA
Rfam family: Bacterial small subunit ribosomal RNA
Source: RNAcentral
AAGGGGACGAUNNNUAGGGGUCCUGAAGAGGNNNAUCCCCCCACACUGGUNNUGAGACACGGACCAGACUCCUACGGGAGGCAGCAGUGAGGAAUAUUGGUCAAUGGGCGCAAGCCUGAACCAGCCAUGCCGCGUGCAGGAUGACGGUCCUAUGGAUUGUAAACUGCUUUUGUACGGGAAGAAACACUCCUUCGUGAAGGAGCUUGACGGUACCGUAAGAAUAAGGAUCGGCUAACUCCGUGCCAGCAGCCGCGGUAAUACGGAGGAUCCAAGCGUUAUCCGGAAUCAUUGGGUUUAAAGGGUCCGUAGGCGGUCUUGUAAGUCAGUGGUGAAAGCCCAUCGCUCAACGGUGGAACGGCCAUUGAUACUGCAGGACUUGAAUUAUUGGGAAGUAACUAGAAUAUGUAGUGUAGCGGUGAAAUGCUUAGAGAUUACAUGGAAUACCAAUUGCGAAGGCAGGUUACUACCAAUUUAUUGACGCUGAUGGACGAAAGCGUGGGUAGCGAACAGGAUUAGAUACCCUGGUAGUCCACGCCGUAAACGAUGGAUACUAGCUGUUGGGGGCAACUUCAGUGGCUAAGCGAAAGUGAUAAGUAUCCCACCUGGGGAGUACGUUCGCAAGAAUGAAACUCAAAGGAAUUGACGGGGGCCCGCACAAGCGGUGGAGCAUGUGGUUUAAUUCGAUGAUACGCGAGGAACCUUACCAAGGCUUAAAUGCAGACUGACCGAUUUGGAAACAGAUCUUUCGCAAGACAGUUUACAAGGUGCUGCAUGGUUGUCGUCAGCUCGUGCCGUGAGGUGUCAGGUUAAGUCCUAUAACGAGCGCAACCCCUGUUGUUAGUUGCCAGCGAGUAGUGUCGGGAACUCUAACAAGACUGCCAGUGCAAACUGUGAGGAAGGUGGGGAUGACGUCAAAUCAUCACGGCCCUUACGCCUUGGGCUACACACGUGCUACAAUGGCCGGUACAGAGAGCAGCCACCUCGCGAGGGGGAGCGAAUCUAUAAAGCCGGUCACAGUUCGGAUCGGAGUCUGCAACUCGACUCCGUGAAGCUGAAUCGCUAGUAAUC